RNAcentral lists this ribosomal RNA (497 nucleotides) under uncultured bacterium. RNAcentral describes it as "partial 16S ribosomal RNA". It matches the Rfam family "Bacterial small subunit ribosomal RNA", at positions 28 to 507 of the family's 1533-position model. The record is from RNAcentral.
GACGAACGCUGGCGGCGUGCCUAACACAUGCAAGUCGAGCGGAAAGACCUGCAUUCUGUUUUUCUUAUGUUAUCGUCGGACGGGUGAGUAAUACGUGGCAAACCUAUCUUUUAGACUGGGCUAACUUCGAGGAACCGGAGAUUAUGUCUGAUUAUAUUUUGGACUGCAGGGUGCAACAGGUGAAGGCGGACGUUUUUUUACUUAUUGAGGGUUCCGCGCUGCAUUAGCUAGUUGGUAGGGGAACGGCUUACCAAGGCAACGAUGCAUAGCCGACCUGAGAGUGUGAUCGGCCACACUGGAACUGAGACACGGUCCAGACUCCUACGGGAGGCAGCAGUAGGGAAUCUUCCGCAAUGGGCGAAAGCCUGACGGAGCAACGCCGCGUGAGUGAUGAAGGUCUUCGGAUCGUAAAACUCUGUUAUUAGGGAAGAACAUAUGUGUAAGUAACUGUGCACAUCUUGACGGUACCUAAUCAGAAAGCCACGGCUAACUACGUG